CCUACGGGGAGCAGCAGUGGGGAAUAUUGGACAAUGGGCGAAAGCCUGAUCCAGCCAUGCCGCGUGUGUGAAGAAGGCCUUCGGGUUGUAAAGCACUUUCAGUGGGGAAGAAAGCCUUGGGGCUAAUACCCUCGAGGAAGGACAUCACCCACAGAAGAAGCACCGGCUAACUCCGUGCCAGCAGCCGCGGUAAUACGGAGGGUGCGAGCGUUAAUCGGAAUUACUGGGCGUAAAGCGCGCGUAGGCGGUCUGAUAAGCCGGUUGUGAAAGCCCCGGGCUCAACCUGGGAACGGCAUCCGGAACUGUCAGGCUAGAGUGCCGGAGAGGAAGGUAGAAUUCCCGGUGUAGCGGUGAAAUGCGUAGAGAUCGGGAGGAAUACCAGUGGCGAAGGCGGCCUUCUGGACUGACACUGACGCUGAGGUGCGAAAGCGUGGGUAGCAAACAGGAUUAGAUACCCUUGUAGUC
Molecule: ribosomal RNA, 465 nt
Filed under: Vreelandella stevensii
Lineage: Bacteria; Pseudomonadati; Pseudomonadota; Gammaproteobacteria; Oceanospirillales; Halomonadaceae
Description: partial 16S ribosomal RNA
Rfam family: Bacterial small subunit ribosomal RNA
Source: RNAcentral